AGAAGGCCUUCGGGUUGUAAAGCACUUUCAGCGGGGAGGAAGGCGUUAAGGUUAAUAACCUUGUCGAUUGACGUUACCCGCAGAAGAAGCACCGGCUAACUCCGUGCCAGCAGCCGCGGUAAUACGGAGGGUGCAAGCGUUAAUCGGAAUUACUGGGCGUAAAGCGCACGCAGGCGGUCUGUCAAGUCGGAUGUGAAAUCCCCGGGCUCAACCUGGGAACUGCAUUCGAAACUGGCAGGCUAGAGUCUUGUAGAGGGGGGUAGAAUUCCAG
This 271-nucleotide ribosomal RNA is filed under the name Klebsiella pneumoniae. RNAcentral's name for it is "partial 16S ribosomal RNA". It matches the Rfam family "Bacterial small subunit ribosomal RNA", at positions 409 to 672 of the family's 1533-position model. The record is from RNAcentral. Lineage: Bacteria; Pseudomonadati; Pseudomonadota; Gammaproteobacteria; Enterobacterales; Enterobacteriaceae.